AUGUCCGAGUAUCUAAAUGUUGUCAGCAAGAUGUUUGAUAGUGAGGCUGAAGGCUAUGAAUUCUACAACAAAUAUGCUCUUGAAAAAGGUUUUAGUGUGAGGAAAAGCUACGUUGAGUGGGAUGGAUCCAACAAAUACAUAAUUUUAAGGAAAAUUGUGUAG
RNAcentral lists this ribosomal RNA (162 nucleotides) under Triticum aestivum (bread wheat). RNAcentral describes it as "partial small subunit ribosomal RNA". Lineage: Eukaryota; Viridiplantae; Streptophyta; Magnoliopsida; Poales; Poaceae. The record is from RNAcentral.